Larimichthys crocea (large yellow croaker) is the source of this 2909-nucleotide long non-coding RNA. RefSeq lists it as uncharacterized. The record is from RefSeq and is a predicted model, not a curated record. The transcript is spliced from 3 exons. Lineage: Eukaryota; Metazoa; Chordata; Actinopteri; Sciaenidae.
UGACACGUCAGCACAUGUUGGUUCCACCCAUCUUCAAACUGUAGAUCUGAGGGGGAGGGAACAAGGAAACAUGAGCAGAGAGGAGCUGGCUGUGUUUGAGAGCAGGAAGAAGAGGGAGGGCUUAUCAAGAGCUGAGUCAUUCCAGGAAGAGGAGCUUGUAAAUGAUCUGUAGAGUUCAUACACUUUGAUCGCUGUGAAGAAAAUAGUUCAUGUUAAAGUUUCACCUGGAAAUGAGUCCAAAAGAAACCAGAAGACUUUUCUAAAACACGGCUGAUCUGAAGGUGAAAUAAAGGUAAAUCCUCCAGUCAGUGACAAUCAUCAGCCCAACAACCACUAAUAAAGGCAAUCAUUUCAUCUUCUUCAUCUUCAGUGAUGAAAUCCUCGACUGUCUGUAAAAGGUGAGCUGUCAGAGACGAGGACUACAAACACAGGAGCAUCACCAGCUGCCAUUUUGUCACCUUUGUUCUUUUCUUUGGAAACCAACAGACGCCCAGGUUACAGCGGAGUCGAUUAGUAUUCGCCGCCACGGUCCUUUCCGUAUGUCACGGGGGACGAAGGACGAAGGCUCACGCUGGAGAAACAAUCGUCCUGUUUGCACAGCCGCCAUGUUAAAGACCACAUCACAGCACAGAGGUUAUAGCAGCACCUUUCCACAGAUAAACCAGCCCCCAUCAACAUUCCCAUCAGUGGCUGCAGGUCAGGCUGACAGGAUACCCAUGGCCUUAUUCCAAGACCGCCUCAGCGCUGCUGCUGCUGCUGCCACGUCAAUUUCAGCCCAGGAGGAAGUCAAUGCCCUCCAAGAGUGCCUCUUCAACAGCAGGAGAGAUGCAUUUUAAUUGGCUGCAAAGGUGCAGGAUAAAAAAGACAGUGUGCAAUCACGCCUGCGGUUUAUUAUCUGUGAAGAGCGUGGAAGUGGUGUUAAAACCGUUUUAACCAUCCUGUAACGUGACGGAAACAUUCGCACUCCUUCUCGUUAUUUAGCUCGUCGAACACGUGAAGAAAGAGCCGUCAGUCCGGACGUUUGCUCCGCUUCCUAAAGGGAACACAGGUUCUGACAUGUCAACAUCUGUCCCCUCACACCCAUAAUCGCUUGUAAUUUAAGUUUUCUUCCUGGGGUUGGUGUGAAGAGAGAAUAAAAAGCUCCUGACGGUCUGACUGUGUUCGAUUUAACAAAUUAAAACCUGAGCGCACACUGACUCGUAAGUUAUUUUAAUUAUCAAUAAAUCAGCUGAUUGUUACCUUGAUUUAAUCUUUUAAUUGUCUGCUCUGUGAAAUGUCAUCAGAGGUUUCCAGGUUGACAUCUUGUCAAACACAAGACGAAGAAAACACACAAAUAAAAAAUUACCUGACUGAACUUCAUCAACGGAAGUAAAUUGUACCAAACAAACUUAGUGUAAUCGUGUAAUUAAACAUACUAACUAACUAACCGUCGCUGUCUCUCUCUGAAUCUGAUGAUCUGACUCAUGAGGAGGUGAGACAGGCAGCUCGGGUUUGAUCAUUAUUUGUUUCUCAACUAUCUGUCUUUUUUUUUUUUUACAUGAACAGCUCGGUCUGAAAAUAUCACUGAGGUGAUUUUUUUUUCACGCCUCUAAGUGAAAUCUUCUGUAAUAAAAUGAAAUGCUUUCGUAAACGCAAAGAGUUCAUCUGUAAAACACACGGCGGUUUGUAAAUCCUGCAAUCAAACGCUGACUGAGCGACGACCUAAGUCGGCUUCAUCCGGUCCAGUCUUGGUCUUGACUUGAUCUCGAUACACUCUGGUCUUGGCCAUGACUUGGUCACAUUCAGUCCGCCUCAGCUCCACCCACGCUAAACGUCUUUGCCCAUUGGCAGGACUGCCAAGAUGGAGACAAGACACACUGAGCUUCACAAUGGCUCUUCAUAAACCUGUGGGGGACGUCACAGAGACCACGUCCAGGACAGGACAUCAAAAACUGAAAAUACUAAAAGUUGUUGUUGAAUAUCUGUCAGAUAUUUCUUGCUUUAUCCGUUAGACGUCUUCAAACGGGUCAGCUCCGUCCUCGUUCAGCAUGUGCCAGGACUCGUGCCUAUCUAAUUCAUUUCUGAUUAGAGUCACUGGGCAGCUCUCCCAUCGCGUGAGGAGAGAAAACUCAUUUCCUUAUUACCGAUCGAUACCUCCACGUGCCUCACCUGCGCACUGUCUGCCUCAUGCCGGGAGAGGUAAUUUCUUCAGGGCUUCACCUUUAACAGGCAGGACAGUCGAGCUGAGUGACGAGAGGCUGAACGGAUGGCGAGCGCGCUGCAGCUUUAACAGCAUGACGGCAUGCAUGAGUGGGUUCACACGUGUGGGUGUGAACACGAGCCUGCUGGAUUGGCUGUGCUGCACGCUGUGUGUCGAGUGCUCCACCUAGUGUUGAGCUGCUGGAAAAACACAAAGCAUGUCAGCGUGGAUGAUGUUGUCAGAGCUCUGACCUUUUGUUGUUCCUUUAUUCCUGCGACAACAGGGACGCUGCAGACUGUUGAGUCACUCGCAUGUGGUUGAGGAGAGCCGGGCGGCGUAAUGCGAGCAGACGAAAAGGGCGGAGGAGGAGGAGGAGGAGGAGGAGAUGAGAAAAUCUACUGAUGGGUUCGAGGGAUGUAAAGCCGCAAGGUUGUAUCUGUGCGGUUCAAGGUGAACGUGAUCGAGGCUUCAGUUCGGUACAGGCUGUACCGCCUCCCACACACGUGCACUGCAGAAAGAUUAAGAGCCUCAAACAGGUAAUUACAACCAAAGGCAAUUUAUCUGCUCAUAAUUACAUCCAAUUAAAGAGACUUCCUUUCUGCGAAUGUGAGGAUUGGACAGGAAUGUCCACACAACCUCCACGACUCCACCGUAAAUGUUACGCUUGGCUAACGACGGUGGCGUCCGCAGUUAAUUGAAUAAUGGGGCAGUGAGAUCAGAACCCCCGAGG